CCUACGGGCGGCAGCAGUGGGGGAUAUUGCACAAUGGGGGAAACCCUGAUGCAGCGACGCCGCGUGUGGGAAGACGGUCCUCUGGAUUGUAAACCACUGUCCCCAGGGACGAAAAUGACGGUACCUGGGGAGGAAGCUCCGGCUAACUACGUGCCAGCAGCCGCGGUAAUACGUAGGGAGCGAGCGUUGUCCGGAAUUACUGGGUGUAAAGGGAGCGUAGGCGGGGAUGCAAGUUGGGGGUCAAAACUACCGGCUCAACUGGGAGUCGCACUCAAAACUGGAGCUCUUGAGUGAAGUAGAGGCAGGCGGAAUUCCUAGUGUAGCGGUGAAAUGCGUAGAUAUUAGGAGGAACACCAGUUGCGAAGGGGGCCUGCUGGGGCUUUACUGACGCUGAGGCUCGAAAGUGUGGGGAGCAAACAGGAUUAGAUACCCGAGUAGUC
RNAcentral lists this ribosomal RNA (440 nucleotides) under uncultured bacterium. RNAcentral describes it as "partial 16S ribosomal RNA". It matches the Rfam family "Bacterial small subunit ribosomal RNA", at positions 338 to 795 of the family's 1533-position model. The record is from RNAcentral.